Molecule: ribosomal RNA, 496 nt
Filed under: uncultured bacterium
Lineage: Bacteria
Description: partial 16S ribosomal RNA
Rfam family: Bacterial small subunit ribosomal RNA
Source: RNAcentral
AUGCACGCUGGCGGCGUGCCUAAUACAUGCAAGUCGAGCGAACAGACGAGGAGCUUGCUCCUCUGACGUUAGCGGCGGACGGGUGAGUAACACGUGGAUAACCUACCUAUAAGACUGGGAUAACUUCGGGAAACCGGAGCUAAUACCGGAUAACAUGUUGAACCGCAUGGUUCAACAGUGAAGGACGGUCUUGCUGUCACUUAUAGAUGGAUCCGCGCCGCAUUAGCUAGUUGGUAAGGUAACGGCUUACCAAGGCAACGAUGCGUAGCCGACCUGAGAGGGUGAUCGGCCACACUGGAACUGAGACACGGUCCAGACUCCUACGGGAGGCAGCAGUAGGGAAUCUUCCGCAAUGGGCGAAAGCCUGACGGAGCAACGCCGCGUGAGUGAAGAAGGUCUUCGGAUCGUAAAACUCUGUUAUUAGGGAAGAACAAAUGUGUAAGUAACUAUGCACGUCUUGACGGUACCUAAUCAGAAAGCCACGGCUAACUACGUG